AAGGAGAGUUUGAUCCUGGCUCAGGACGAACGCUGGCGGCGUGCUUAACACAUGCAAGUCGAACGGAAAGGUCUCUUCGGAGACACUCGAGUGGCGAACGGGUGAGUAACACGUGGGCAAUCUGCCCUGCACACCGGGAUAAGCCUGGGAAACUGGGUCUAAUACCGGAUAGGACCACUUGGCGCAUGCCUUGUGGUGGAAAGCUUUUGCGGUGUGGGAUGGGCCCGCGGCCUAUCAGCUUGUUGGUGGGGUGACGGCCUACCAAGGCGACGACGGGUAGCCGGCCUGAGAGGGUGUCCGGCCACACUGGGACUGAGAUACGGCCCAGACUCCUACGGGAGGCAGCAGUGGGGAAUAUUGCACAAUGGGCGCAAGCCUGAUGCAGCGACGCCGCGUGGGGGAUGACGGCCUUCGGGUUGUAAACCUCUUUCACCAUCGACGAAGGUCCGGGUUCUCUCGGAUUGACGGUAGGUGGAGAAGAAGCACCGGCCAACUACGUGCCAGCAGCCGCGGUAAUACGUAGGGUGCGAGCGUUGUCCGGAAUUACUGGGCGUAAAGAGCUCGUAGGUGGUUUGUCGCGUUGUUCGUGAAAUCUCACGGCUUAACUGUGAGCGUGCGGGCGAUACGGGCAGACUAGAGUACUGCAGGGGAGACUGGAAUUCCUGGUGUAGCGGUGGAAUGCGCAGAUAUCAGGAGGAACACCGGUGGCGAAGGCGGGUCUCUGGGCAGUAACUGACGCUGAGGAGCGAAAGCGUGGGGAGCGAACAGGAUUAGAUACCCUGGUAGUCCACGCCGUAAACGGUGGGUACUAGGUGUGGGUUUCCUUCCUUGGGAUCCGUGCCGUAGCUAACGCAUUAAGUACCCCGCCUGGGGAGUACGGCCGCAAGGCUAAAACUCAAAGGAAUUGACGGGGGCCCGCACAAGCGGCGGAGCAUGUGGAUUAAUUCGAUGCAACGCGAAGAACCUUACCUGGGUUUGACAUGCACAGGACGCGUCUAGAGAUAGGCGUUCCCUUGUGGCCUGUGUGCAGGUGGUGCAUGGCUGUCGUCAGCUCGUGUCGUGAGAUGUUGGGUUAAGUCCCGCAACGAGCGCAACCCUUGUCUCAUGUUGCCAGCGGGUAAUGCCGGGGACUCGUGAGAGACUGCCGGCCUCAACUCGGAGGAAGGUGGGGAUGACGUCAAGUCAUCAUGCCCCUUAUGUCCAGGGCUUCACACAUGCUACAAUGGCCGGUACAAAGGGCUGCGAUGCCGCGAGGUUAAGCGAAUCCUUUUAAAGCCGGUCUCAGUUCGGAUCGGGGUCUGCAACUCGACCCCGUGAAGUCGGAGUCGCUAGUAAUCGCAGAUCAGCAACGCUGCGGUGAAUACGUUCCCGGGCCUUGUACACACCGCCCGUCACGUCAUGAAAGUCGGUAACACCCGAAGCCAGUGGCCUAACCCUCGGGAGGGAGCUGUCGAAGGUGGGAUCGGCGAUUGGGACGAAGUCGUAACAA
This 1489-nucleotide ribosomal RNA is filed under the name Mycobacterium kansasii. Its description in RNAcentral is "bacterial SSU rRNA". It matches the Rfam family "Bacterial small subunit ribosomal RNA". The record is from RNAcentral. Lineage: Bacteria; Bacillati; Actinomycetota; Actinomycetes; Mycobacteriales; Mycobacteriaceae.